Long non-coding RNA from Dicentrarchus labrax (European seabass), 3010 nucleotides. RefSeq lists it as uncharacterized. The transcript has 2 exons. NCBI's taxonomy places the organism in Eukaryota, Metazoa, Chordata, Actinopteri, Moronidae. The record is from RefSeq and is a predicted model, not a curated record.
GUGUGAAUGUGUGUGAAAGGAAAAAUGUGGCAUGUAACGUAAGAGCACUUUGAGUAGUCGGAAGACUAGAAAGGCGCUAUAAUACAGGUCCAUUUACCAUUUACAUACAAUAUCAUAAUACAAUAUUGUAAAGUAGGGAAGGCAGGAAAGAAGGGAUCUUGAAAUUGUUCAGUCAGUCCAAAUUUGUUCAGCAGUGGAUCAAUGCAGCAUAUUUACAGUGAGGAUCGGCUUGGCCCAAACCGGAGAAAAAAACAAACUAAAUAAAAAUGAAAAAACAAAUGGAAAACAACUUGGGGAAAAAGCUAACUAGAGGUAUCAAAAAGAAAAAUCAACUCUGCUCUGGGGUAUACCCCUUUUAAGCUUGGGCCCCUGGCAGCCAACAAUCCCUGUGGCCUGCUCACCAACAUCCUCAAAAGGUAGCCCCUUGGAGAACCCUCAUCUACUGCUUAUAUAUCCUGUAGCUCCUCCUACCCCAGGAAGCAAUUAACCUAUUGCAUACAUUCAUCUAAUACCCAAUAUAUAACUUGUAUAAGUCAACAGUGGAAAAAACUUAUUUUAAAAAAUAAACUAGAUCCCAAACUGUUCAAAACAACAAAUCUCCAAAUCACAAUCUAGAGGAAAGAUGUGAAAAACCCAAAUUGUUCCUGAAGCUUCCUUCAAGAUCUAAUGUAACUCAAUGCAAACAUAAUACAAUUAACCUUACCAUGUUUCAACCCAACAUCUGUACUAAUUACCAAACCAGGCAAACUAGAUGGUAUGUAAAAGUGACUGAGGUGGGACAGAUAUUUUCGGAAAUAUUUGUACUGGGAGUGGAUUGCAUCUAUCCAUCUCCAUGCAUGCAUUCGAUUCCCACACUAUCUGAAAACCAUUGAUAAUGAUAUAUUUGUUUAGCACUCAAAUCCACUCACCUUUAACAAUAGCUGGAGGCACGGUGAAGUUGUCUUUAACAUUUUUAGUUAAAGUUACCAAGUGAGACUCUGCAGCAUUUCUAUGUCCGAUAGAAGCACUAGCACUAGUUUCUGGUCUCUCUUCCUCAACUACUCAUUCUUCCACUUCGCUUCAGACAAAACAUCUACUGUAGUAAGUAUUUUUUGGGGCUUUUAUUGCCUUUAUUUGAUAGGACAGCUGAAGGCAGACAGGAAGGGGGCAGAGAGAGAGAGGGGAUGACACGCAGUAAAGGGCUGCAGGUCGGAUUCGAACCCUGGGCUGCUGAAGCAAGGACUCAGCCUCGGCACACGGGCCGCCAGCUCCACCCACUGAGCUGAGCACUGUUCUAGUGUUUUCUAGCAUGUAAAUUGAAUUCUGUGGUCCAUGGUGCGCGAUUACUGCUACAGAAAAAGCGGAUCCCCCACAGUCCCUACUACCACCUUCUCAAGAGUCCAUGGACCAUGAUUGGAGCAGCACUCACUCUGGAACUCCAGUCAUGAUGAGGUAUCACAGGAGGCAUGUCCACCACAGUCCCUACUACCACAAUCUCAAGAGCCUAUUGACCAUUGAUCAUGACGACACACCUGGUCAAAGCCCAUAAGAGCCUGCUCAGACCAAGCUGUGUUAGCCGAUGAGUAUGUGCUAACUUACAAGACUGUCUUUCCAUCAGCCUCUGCUGAGAAACCUUGUUAUGUUCAAACUAGUCUGCCAAAGAUGCUGAGUCCAAAGAAAGAAGAAAGAGAGUGUUUUUCUGCCACAAACCUGGACAUGUCAUUGCCGUCUGUCUGACCCUUAAAUGCAUACAGCAACAAGAGACUUCUCAGAGUGUGCUGUAGCUGAAAGACGUCGUAUUAAUUAAAACUGAGUCGUGAACAAACAAGAACCUCUGUUGUAAAUGGACCUGUACUUGUAUAGCGCCUUUCUAGUCUUCCGACCACUCAAAGCGCUUUUACACUGCAUGCCACAUUCACACAGUGAUGGCAAAGUCCAUCAAACAGAAACUAACUCAUUCAUACACGUUCAAGCACCAAUGCACGUCAUCACGUUCAGUAUCUUGCUCAAUUGUUCAAUGUGGCGGGAGGAGCCGGGGAUUGAACCAACAACCUUCCGAUUAGUGGACGACCCGCUCUGCCUCUGAGCCACAGCCACCUCUGACCAGUUGUCCGUCCUCUGACCAGUUUGCUCAGCCUGAGCUAGUUAGACGUUACUACACCUAGGUGCAGGGUGUUAAAGGGACACUUCACUCAUUUGCAUUAAGCUUUGAUUCAUUAGAACCCCAGUCAUAUUUUUGAAUGGUCGUGCAUCAUUCCGUCACUUUCCCUGAGAGGGGAGAAAUACGGAUUUUAGUGUUGCACUUCCUGCUUCCAAUGAUGUAAAAACCGUCAUUGUGCGUCAUUGGAAGCAGGAAGUCUCAUAUCUCUGUAGAGGGGGUGAGACUACAAACACUACUUCCUCAUUUUUUUUCUUACUCACACUACAGACCUAUUACAGAUCAGUGGGUGGGACUUCACUUGCAGAAACUAAAAAAUAUAACCGCCAUCUUGUUUGGAAGCUAAGCAGAGGCGCUGUCGGGCCAGACGUUACGACUAUGGUAAUCAAUGUAAUAUGGAAGAAAUUUCGAAAGUAUGAUGGUCGAAUCAGAUGUUCGUGGCUACCUUUAUUAGCCGCAAUAUAGCGAAGAGCUACUGAGGCCGAACAGGAGGCGGCUGAGGCUUCUGCCUUCAAGGCAGAGGACCUGCCUGUCGCGGACGAGGAGCCCGGACUGGCUCGAGCUCGGGCGGACUGCUGGUGCCUGUGCUCUCGCUGUGCGCCUAUGGACACACGGACGUCUGACUGUAAAACAAUAUCGCCUAACAGCCUUUCUGCAAUGGGUCCUGCAAGGCGAGAGAUUGGGAUCGAGGCCAUCGUGUCGUUUUACCCGCUUAUGUGGUGCAGGCUAUCCGACAGAAAUAUCCAGCUCCAGAUGGCCAGUACUGCGGCACCAAGAAGUUGAGGACGCUCAGGAGGAACUAUAACUGUCAUUGUUAACAUAUUUAUUUUUGUUGUUGUUGAUAUAUUUCUGUAAAUAAAUGGUUUACAUUCA